Molecule: ribosomal RNA, 246 nt
Filed under: uncultured bacterium
Lineage: Bacteria
Description: partial 16S ribosomal RNA
Rfam family: Bacterial small subunit ribosomal RNA
Source: RNAcentral
UACGUAGGGGGCAAGCGUUGUCCGGAUUCAUUGGGCGUAAAGAGCGUGUAGGCGGCCAGGUAGGUCGGUUGUGAAAACUGGAGGCUCAACCUUCAGAGGUCGACCGAAACCAUCUGGCUAGAGUCCGGGAGAGGAGAGUGGAAUUCCUGGUGUAGCGGUGAAAUGCGCAGAUAUCAGGAAGAACACCCGUGGCGAAAGCGGCUCUCUGGAACGGUACUGACGCUGAGGAGCGAAAGCUGGGGAGCA